Molecule: ribosomal RNA, 460 nt
Filed under: uncultured bacterium
Lineage: Bacteria
Description: partial 16S ribosomal RNA
Rfam family: Bacterial small subunit ribosomal RNA
Source: RNAcentral
CCUACGGGGGGCAGCAGUGAGGAAUAUUGGUCAAUGGCCGGAAGGCUGAACCAGCCAUGCCGCGUGAAGGUCAGUGCCCUAUGGGCGUUAAACUUCUUUUGUGCGGGAGCAAUAAUGGUCACGUGUGGCCAGACGAGAGUACCGUACGCAUAAGCAUCGGCUAACUCCGUGCAAGCAGCCGCGGUAAUACGGGGGAUGCAAGCGUUAUCCGGACUUAUUGGGUUUAAGGGGUGCGUAGGCUGUGAGGUAAGUCAGCGGUGAAAUGCACCCGCUCAACGGGGUGAAGUGCCAUUGAUACUGCCUUGCUGGAAUGCUGAUGCCGUGGGAGGAAUGUGUGUUGUAGCGGUGAAAUGCAUAGAUAUCACACAGAACACCGAUUGCGAAGGCAUCUCACGAAUCCGCGAUUGACGCUGAUGCACGAAAGCGUGGGUAUCAAACAGGAUUAGAUACCCUAGUAGUC